This 551-nucleotide ribosomal RNA is filed under the name uncultured Diversisporaceae. RNAcentral describes it as "SSU rRNA". It matches the Rfam family "Eukaryotic small subunit ribosomal RNA", at positions 548 to 1098 of the family's 1831-position model. Lineage: Eukaryota; Fungi; Glomeromycota; Glomeromycetes; Diversisporales. The record is from RNAcentral.
UUGGAGGGCAAGUCUGGUGCCAGCAGCCGCGGUAAUUCCAGCUCCAAUAGCGUAUAUUAAAGUUGUUGCAGUUAAAAAGCUCGUAGUUGAACUUCGGGGUCUACCCAUUGGUCAGGCUUAAUUGUCUGCACUGGUGAGAUGGAUCUCUACCUUCUGAGGAACUCUCAUGCCAUUUAUUUGGUGUGGUUGGAAAUCAGGACUGUUACUUUGAAAAAAUUAGAGUGUUUAAAGCAGACUAUCGUCUGAAUACAUUAGCAUGGAAUAAUGAAAUAGGACGGACUGAUUCUAUUUCGUUGGUUUCUGGGAUCACCGUAAUGAUUAAUAGGGAUAGUUGGGGGCAUUAGUAUUCAAUUGUCAGAGGUGAAAUUCUUGGAUUUAUUGAAGACUAACUACUGCGAAAGCAUUUGCCAAGGAUGUUUUCAUUAAUCAAGAACGAAAGUUAGGGGAUCGAAGACGAUUAGAUACCGUCGUAGUCUUAACCAUAAACUAUGCCGACUAGGGAUCGGACGAAGUUAAUUUUAUAAUGACGCGUUCGGCACCUUACGGGAAAC